This 719-nucleotide long non-coding RNA is filed under the name Felis catus (domestic cat). RNAcentral describes it as "lncRNA (ENSFCAG00000052652.1)". Lineage: Eukaryota; Metazoa; Chordata; Mammalia; Carnivora; Felidae. The record is from RNAcentral.
AUGCAACGUGUAAUGCCACUAGCAUGCAGUAGGGGGCAAAGGAGCUUAAGCUUCACUGAAAAGCUUGAUUCAAGCACUCCUGCAGCCAGUUCUGGUCCAGCCAACAAAUCAUCCACACCUGCAGCUUUGCUAGAGCCGCUGCAAGCCAGGGGGUGCUUGAGGGUUUGGAUUUUCUUUCACUGGUCGCUGAUUAAACCUGGUCAGUUCUUCUACUCAGAAUGGAUGAUCCCAUCCUUGUGUGAUCCAGAUUGCUGUUGCCACCAACCUGAAGACAUAUGGAACCAUAAGGACAGGAACCAUUCUGUUUAUUUCUGUUUUAGACCUUCCAUGUGUAUGGCCUUCAGGCUAUCCAAAUGGGAUGCAAGGGAGUGUUGAAUAUGGCCUGGCAAUGAAAUUCCGAAGUUGAACUGGGAGAAAGGCACUUCUGCCAACUAUUAUAUGUAUCCCUUCUGGGAAUUCUGACUUGCCUCAGUGAUGGGGAUAUGACAGCGACUGGCUUGGAAAUCUGUAAGCCAAACUCUCAGAUCAUGUCACGAUCUCAGAUCAUGUCAAAGACUCUAUACAGGUUAGAACUCUGUUCCAAACUCUUGGUGAAUAUAGUGAAUUUUGGGUAUCAAAAAUAAUCCUGUAGGAUUUAAAAAAUGACAUAACCAUUUAACAUUAUAUAUCUUUCUAGGAUUUUGAACUCAUCUUCAUCAUUCAUAUGAAGGAACCAAGUG